UUUUUUUUUUUUUUUUUUUUUUUUGCGGAAAGGAAGACAAAGUGAGAAAGAGUUGGAGAUGGCCGAGAACUGAGAUGAAUUUUUGCAAUCAUUUUAUAACGUUUAAGGGGCAAAACAUCCUCCCUCACACCUAUUCGAUAUCGAGAUUUCGUCAAUUCUACGAUGCUGGUCGACAAAUUUCUGACGCGACAUCCAUCAUCAUACCAAUACUUAAACCUUGUUUUCUAACUUGAAUUAAAAGGAGUGGGAUUGGCUUUAUUAGGAUCGAUCAAUAUACUUACCAGGUCUUGACUAUUCAAUAUUAUUCGGACGCAGACACUUACCAUUUUAGCAAAGAAAGUUUGCAGAUUGAAGUCCGUGUCUGUUCAGCAUACAUGUUCUAUAUGGGUGUUCUGUACGCGAAUUUUGUGCAAAAGCUUUCUUAAUAUGAUCCUACAAGUUUCGCAUAAAAGUUCUCUUUGUUUACAAAUAUCUUGUGUUUGCAUUAUUAGAUGCUACUAUUGUUCGGUAUAUUAAUUCCGUCUCUGUUCUGCAUACAUGUUCUAUACACAAGUUCUAUAUACAGCUUUUAUACAAACGCUUUCUUACACAUAUUUUGGUUAUGCAUCGUUAAAUGCUGCAUAAUUCUUAAUUGAAUUGUAAAAAUAUAGACGUAAGACAAUGCAUUUUUAUUGCAAUAUGAAAAGCAUUUCUUUGCUGCCUUGUGGCGUAGAUCGAAGUGUGGAAGUCGGCAGGAUGCUCAGACUUGGCCGCCAUUCCUGCUGUCUCUGCUGCUCUUGCUGCUACUCCUGCUGCUCCUCCUGCUGUUGCUACUCCUCCUCCUCCUGCUGCUGCUCCUCCUCCUGCCGCUGCUGUUACUGCUGCUCCGCCUGCUAUUCCUGCUAUUCCUGUCGGUUCUGUUAAAUUUUAGGUUCCUCUUCCUCCUCUUCUUCAGCUUCUCCUCCUUGUUCUGCUCCUCCUCCUCAAUCUCUUCUUCUUCUCCUC
Molecule: long non-coding RNA, 984 nt
Organism: Glossina fuscipes
Lineage: Eukaryota; Metazoa; Arthropoda; Insecta; Diptera; Glossinidae
Exons: 3
Source: RefSeq, a predicted model, not a curated record